RNAcentral lists this ribosomal RNA (428 nucleotides) under uncultured bacterium. RNAcentral describes it as "bacterial SSU rRNA". It matches the Rfam family "Bacterial small subunit ribosomal RNA", at positions 355 to 775 of the family's 1533-position model. The record is from RNAcentral.
UAGGGAAUAUUGCGCAAGGGGCGAAAGCCUGACGCAGCCAUGCCGCGUGGAUGAUGAAGGCCUUCGGGUCGUAAAGUCCUUUUCUGAGGGAAGAACUGCCGGGGGAGGAAAUGCCCUUGGCUUGACGGUACCUCAGGAAUAAGCAACGGCUAACUCCGUGCCAGCAGCCGCGGUAAAACGGAGGUUGCAAGCGUUGUUCGGAAUGACUGGGCGUAAAGGGAGCGCAGGCGGCCAAGUCAGUCUGAAGUGAAAGCCCGGGGCUUAACCCCGGAAUAGCUUUGGAUACUGCCUGGCUUGAGUGUGCGAUAGGAAAGCGGAAUUCCAGGUGUAGCGGUUAAAUGCGUAGAUAUCUGGAGGAACACCGGUGGCGAAAGCGGCUUUCUGGCGCAUAACUGACGCUGAGGCUCGAAAGCGUGGGGAGCGAACGG